Molecule: ribosomal RNA, 407 nt
Filed under: uncultured bacterium
Lineage: Bacteria
Description: partial 16S ribosomal RNA
Rfam family: Bacterial small subunit ribosomal RNA
Source: RNAcentral
AUUGAACGCUGGCGGCAGGCCUAACACAUGCAAGUCGAGCGGAGCGGCGGACGGGUGAGUAAUGCAUAGGAAUCUGCCUGGUAGUGGGGGGUAACGUACGGAAACGGGCGCUAAUACCGCAUACUAUCAGAUGAGACUAGGUCGGAUUAGCUAGUUGGUGGGGUAAAGGACUACCAAGGCGACGAUCCGUAACUGGUCUGAGAGGAUGAUCAGCCACACUGGAACUGAGACACGGUCCAGACUCCUACGGGAGGCAGCAGUGGGGAAUAUUGGACAAUGGGCGAAAGCCUGAUCCAGCCAUGCCGCGUGUGUGAAGAAGGUCUUCGGGUUGUAAAGCACUUUAAGUUGGGAGGCGUUACCAGCAGAAUAAGCACCGGCUAACUUCGUGCCAGCAGCCGCGGUAAUUC